GACGAACGCUGGCGGCGUGCUUAACACAUGCAAGUCGAACGGUGAAGCGCCUUCCUUUUUGGUGGGUGUGGAUGAGUGGCGAACGGGUGAGUAACACGUGAGUAACCUGCCCCCUUCUUCUGGAUAACCGCAUGAAAGUGUGGCUAAUACGGGAUAUUCUGGGUCUGUCGCAUGAUGGGUCUGGGAAAGAUAUUGUUUCGGUGGGGGAUGGGCUCGCGGCCUAUCAGCUUGUUGGUGGGGUGAUGGCCUACCAAGGCGGUGACGGGUAGCCGGCCUGAGAGGGUGGACGGUCACACUGGGACUGAGACACGGCCCAGACUCCUACGGGAGGCAGCAGUGGGGAAUAUUGCACAAUGGGCGCGAGCCUGAUGCAGCGACGCCGCGUGAGGGAUGGAGGCCUUCGGGUUGUGAACCUCUUUCGCCAGUGAAGCAGGCCUGCCUCGUUUGUGGGUGGGUUGACGGUAGCUGGAUAAGAAGCGCCGGCUAACUACGUG
This 494-nucleotide ribosomal RNA is filed under the name uncultured bacterium. RNAcentral's name for it is "partial 16S ribosomal RNA". It matches the Rfam family "Bacterial small subunit ribosomal RNA", at positions 28 to 507 of the family's 1533-position model. The record is from RNAcentral.